RNAcentral lists this ribosomal RNA (487 nucleotides) under uncultured bacterium. RNAcentral's name for it is "bacterial SSU rRNA". It matches the Rfam family "Bacterial small subunit ribosomal RNA", at positions 30 to 507 of the family's 1533-position model. The record is from RNAcentral.
UGAACGCUAGCGGCAGGCCUAACACAUGCAAGUCGAGGGGUAGCAGGAUUAAGCUUUGCUUAAUUGCUGACGACCGGCGCACGGGUGCGUAACGCGUAUGCAACCUACCUUAUACUGGGGGUAUAGCCCGGAGAAAUUCGGAUUAAUCCCCCAUAGUACUGUUUAAUCGCAUGGUUGAACAGUUAAAGCAUUGCGGUAUAAGAUGGGCAUGCGUCCUAUUAGCUAGAUGGUGAGGUAACGGCUCACCAUGGCUACGAUAGGUAGGGGGCCUGAGAGGGUGGUCCCCCACACUGGUACUGAGACACGGACCAGACUCCUACGGGAGGCAGCAGUGAGGAAUAUUGGUCAAUGGGCGCAAGCCUGAACCAGCCAUGCCGCGUGCAGGAAGAAUGCCCUAUGGGUUGUAAACUGCUUUUAUUUGGGAAUAAACCUCUUUACGUGUAGAGAGCUGAAGGUACCAAAUGAAUAAGCACCGGCUAACUCCGUG